This 21-nucleotide microRNA is filed under the name Taeniopygia guttata (zebra finch). RNAcentral describes it as "tgu-let-7a-2-3p". Its record names the gene tgu-let-7a-2-3p. Lineage: Eukaryota; Metazoa; Chordata; Aves; Passeriformes; Estrildidae. The record is from miRBase by way of RNAcentral.
CUGUACAACCUCCUAGCUUUC